AAUAAGAGAGCGCCAGAACUUUAUUCAAAGUUGACGAGGACUGGAAUUUAUCGAAAAUUCGGCGGAUAUUCCAGAGGUGGUUACAUCCGUUAUCUACAAAGCCAUAAAGAAAUUUUUGGAACAAAAAGGUAAC
This 133-nucleotide non-coding RNA is filed under the name uncultured Fusobacterium sp. RNAcentral's name for it is "glmS glucosamine-6-phosphate activated ribozyme". It matches the Rfam family "glmS glucosamine-6-phosphate activated ribozyme aptamer". Rfam says of the family: This entry contains a glucosamine-6-phosphate activated ribozyme that is found in the mRNA for GlmS. GlmS is an enzyme that uses fructose-6-phosphate and glutamine to generate glucosamine-6-phosphate. The record is from RNAcentral. Lineage: Bacteria; Fusobacteriati; Fusobacteriota; Fusobacteriia; Fusobacteriales; Fusobacteriaceae.